This is a long non-coding RNA of Girardinichthys multiradiatus, 317 nucleotides long. RefSeq lists it as uncharacterized. The transcript is spliced from 6 exons. The record is from RefSeq and is a predicted model, not a curated record. NCBI's taxonomy places the organism in Eukaryota, Metazoa, Chordata, Actinopteri, Cyprinodontiformes, Goodeidae.
AAGAGGAGGAGCUCAAAGUACUUAUUCAGGUAAAAAAGAGAAGAUACUUUUGUCCUGGCACAGUCUUGGAGUUUUCACAAACUCUCCUCUGCUCCUGCUCAUCACCUCAGUUGACUGUCUGUUGUGUUCAAGAUGGGACAGCUCACCCUUGUCACUUUCCUAGCAGUGCUGUGCUCCGUUUUUAUGGUAACUGAAGCAAAUCCAUUCGUUUACAACUAUGAAAGACUAAGAAUCGGAGGCCUCGUCAUUACCGGAUUGUUAACAGUUGGAGGAAUUGUUCUUGUCACCUAUAAGAAAUGUACCAAGGGACGCGGGUG